This 432-nucleotide unclassified non-coding RNA is filed under the name soil metagenome. Its description in RNAcentral is "partial contains 5.8S ribosomal RNA, internal transcribed spacer 2, and large subunit ribosomal RNA". The stretch from base 1 to 120 matches the Rfam family "5.8S ribosomal RNA", at positions 35 to 154 of the family's 154-position model. The record is from RNAcentral.
GAUGAAGAACGUAGCGAAAUGCGAUACGUAAUGUGAAUUGCAGAAUUCAGUGAAUCAUCGAAUCUUUGAACGCAUAUUGCGCUCUCUGGUAUUCCGGAGAGCAUGCUUGUUUGAGUAUCAGUAAACACCUCAACUUCCAUAUCUUUUUUGAAAUGGGAGUUGGACUUGAGUGAUCUCAACGCUUUUCCUCACCGAAAAGUGGCGGGUUACUUGAAAUGCAGGUGCAGCUGGACUUUUCUCUGAGCUAUAAGCAUAUCUAUUUAGUCUGCCUAAAAAACAGAUUAUUACCUUUGCUGCAGCUAACAUAAAGGAGAUUAGUUCUUGUGCUGACUGAUGCAGGAUUCACAAAGACAGCUUCGGCCGACUUUGUAAACUCGAUCUCAAAUCAAGUAAGACUACCCGCUGAACUUAAGCAUAUCAAUAAGCGGAGGA